Molecule: transfer RNA, 72 nt
Organism: Methanohalobium evestigatum Z-7303
Lineage: Archaea; Methanobacteriati; Methanobacteriota; Methanomicrobia; Methanosarcinales; Methanosarcinaceae
Rfam family: tRNA
About the family: Transfer RNA (tRNA) molecules are approximately 80 nucleotides in length. Their secondary structure includes four short double-helical elements and three loops (D, anti-codon, and T loops).
Source: Rfam
GCGGCUGUGGUCUAGUGGUCAUGACAGAGGCUUCCCAAGCCUCUAACCCGGGUUCGAAUCCCGGCAGCCGCA